CCUACGGGAGGCAGCAGUAGGGAAUCUUCCACAAUGGGCGAAAGCCUGAUGGAGCAACGCCGCGUGGGUGAAGAAGGUCUUCGGAUCGUAAAACCCUGUUGUUAGAGAAGAAAGUGCGUGAGAGUAACUGUUCACGUUUCGACGGUAUCUAACCAGAAAGCCACGGCUAACUACGUGCCAGCAGCCGCGGUAAUACGUAGGUGGCAAGCGUUAUCCGGAUUUAUUGGGCGUAAAGGGAACGCAGGCGGUCUUUUAAGUCUGAUGUGAAAUCCUUCGGCUUAACCGGAGUAGUGCAUUGGAAACUGGGAAACUUGAGUGCGGGAGAGGAGAGUGGAACGCCAUGUGUAGCGGUGAAAUGCGUAGAUAUAUGGAAGAACACCAGUGGCGAAGGCGGCUCUCUGGUCUGUAACUGACGCUGAGGUUCGAAAGCGUGGGUAGCAAACAGGAUUAGAUACCCCAGUAGUC
This 465-nucleotide ribosomal RNA is filed under the name uncultured bacterium. RNAcentral's name for it is "partial 16S ribosomal RNA". It matches the Rfam family "Bacterial small subunit ribosomal RNA", at positions 338 to 795 of the family's 1533-position model. The record is from RNAcentral.